This 314-nucleotide unclassified non-coding RNA is filed under the name plant metagenome. Its description in RNAcentral is "partial contains 5.8S ribosomal RNA, internal transcribed spacer 2, and large subunit ribosomal RNA". The stretch from base 1 to 106 matches the Rfam family "5.8S ribosomal RNA", at positions 50 to 154 of the family's 154-position model. The record is from RNAcentral.
GAAAUGCGAUAAGUAAUGCGAAUUGCAGAAUUUCAGUGAGUCAUCGAAUCUUUGAACGCACAUUGCGCCCUUUGGUAUUCCGAAGGGCAUGCCUGUUCGAGCGUCAUUAACACCCCUCAAGCCUGGCUUGUUGUUGGACUGGGUCUGGAUGACACCCGACCCGUCCCAAAGAUAAUGACGGCGUCCGUGGGACCCUCGGUGCAACGAGCUCUUCCAAAGCACGCAUCGAGUUGCAAGGCCCCUCGGCACGGUCUACAGCUUUAAAUUUCUAAGGUUGACCUCGGAUCAGGUAGGAAUACCCGCUGAACUUAAGC